ACACCCGUUUUAUUGCUGUUAUGGGUUUGAACCGGAGCUUAGCCUUGUUCAUUUUUUUACACAAUAGCGAUGUAAAAAAUCUAACACGGCUCGCUGAGCGCCGCGCCAGACAAGGGCGCCAAGGGGGUUAAGAUGCCCUGAAACGCCCUAAAAAUGGCCACUGCGCCCCGUUUCAGGGCAA
This 181-nucleotide small RNA is filed under the name Pseudomonas sp. GV071. RNAcentral describes it as "Pseudomonas sRNA P1". It matches the Rfam family "Pseudomonas sRNA P1". From Rfam's summary of the family: There appears to be two related copies of P1 sRNA in the P.aeruginosa PA01 genome and both copies appear to be located upstream of predicted glutamine synthetase genes. This sRNA appears to be conserved amongst several Pseudomonas species. P1 has a predicted Rho independent terminator at the 3' end but the function of P1 is unknown. The record is from Rfam by way of RNAcentral. Lineage: Bacteria; Pseudomonadati; Pseudomonadota; Gammaproteobacteria; Pseudomonadales; Pseudomonadaceae.